RNAcentral lists this ribosomal RNA (465 nucleotides) under uncultured bacterium. Its description in RNAcentral is "partial 16S ribosomal RNA". It matches the Rfam family "Bacterial small subunit ribosomal RNA", at positions 28 to 507 of the family's 1533-position model. The record is from RNAcentral.
GAUGAACGCUGGCGGCGUGCUUAACACAUGCAAGUCGAACGGAAAGGCUCCUGCUUGCAGGGGUACUCGAGUGGCGAACGGGUGAGUAACACGUGGGUGAUCUGCCCUGCACUUCGGUAUAAGCCUGGGAAACUGGGUCUAAUACCGGAUAGGACGAUGGUUUGGAUGCCAUUGUGGAAAGUUUUUCGGUGUGGGAUGAGCUCGCGGCCUAUCAGCUUGUUGGUGGGGUAAUGGCCUACCAAGGCGUCGACGGGUAGCCGGCCUGAGAGGGUGUACGGCCACAUUGGGACUGAGAUACGGCCCAGACUCCUACGGGAGGCAGCAGUGGGGAAUAUUGCACAAUGGGCGCAAGCCUGAUGCAGCGACGCCGCGUGGGGGAUGACGGCCUUCGGGUUGUAAACUCCUUUCGCUAGGGACGAAGCGCAAGUGACGGUACCUGGAGAAGAAGCACCGGCUAACUACGUG